Long non-coding RNA from Hyalella azteca, 1491 nucleotides. RefSeq lists it as uncharacterized. The transcript has 4 exons. NCBI's taxonomy places the organism in Eukaryota, Metazoa, Arthropoda, Malacostraca, Amphipoda, Hyalellidae. The record is from RefSeq and is a predicted model, not a curated record.
AUACUCUUCCUGCUUGGUUCAAGUUGGUUAUUGCUGGAUAUCUUAUUGCUUCUAGUGUGUCUCAAGAAACCUCAUACUUAUAUACCCCCACAUUAAUCUCAUGGCAUACAGUAUAAAAGAGUGCAGAGUUGCUCUGCACCAGCUCUCAGAUGCUGCAGUCAGGAGUGGCUGGUGCCCUGAGCAGAGCAUCGUUCAAGCAGCAACUGACGUGUGCAAACUCGAGCCUGAAGCAAUGGAGGGCAGCAGCUCAUCCCUACCCUCCAUCGUGACAGUUUACAUCAAAGAGGAGCCUGAAGAUGAGGGAGAGGACAUAACUGUGAAGGAUGAACCACUUUGCAGUGAAGAAUAUGAGCAAACUCCACUUCCCUCAUCUUGCAAGCCAUGAAAGAAAGAGGUUCAAGUUGAGGCUCACGAGGCCUGCACCAGCGCCUCACAGUACACUGCUGCAGUGCCUCAUAAGCAGGAUGUCUUGCCUUGCAAUGCCCAGAGCAACAUUGGACAGGAUGAGUGGACGGCAGUUUCUCCAGAAAACAAGGAAAAAAAUAUUUCUGUUGCUGAGAAAAAUAUUUCUCCAGUGCCCAAUAGAGCAGCUUUAGUCCAGGAAGUUCUCUUUGAUCAGCCUGUGGCUGAGUUCAAGUCUUUUGAGUCAAACUUGUCCAACAAAGACAAUGGAAGAUUAGCAGAGGAAUUGCAUAAAGUUUCCUCAUCUGCUGAUUCAUCCCAUUCUAAAGUUCCUUUUAAUGCCCUCCAGUUAAACAAAAAUGAUUUUGGAUCUAAAUUUAAAUGCAAGUUAUGCAACUAUGUAACGACUAUGAAACAAAAUCUCCAUAGUCACUUGUUUUCAAGACAUGGUCUGGGGGAAGGAGCCAAAUGCAAGUUGUGUAAUUAUGAAACUGACAGACAUGAACAUCUCGAAAUUCACAUUUUCUCUAAACAUGGUUUAGGGAAGAGAGUAAAAUGUGAUCUGUGUGACUAUGUUACUACUCGAAAAGGCACUUUCCAACGUCAUCUGUUUGCAAAACAUGGUUUGGGGCAAGGAUUUAAAUGUGAUCUGUGUGACUAUGUUACUUCUCAAACACAAAGUCUCCGCAAUCACUUGUUUUCUAAACAUGGGGUGGGGCAAGGAUUCAAAUGCAAGUUGUGUGAUUAUGCUGCUGGUAGUAAAGUUUUUCUUAGAAGGCACCUUUCCUCAAAGCAUGGUUUGGGAGGCUUAAAAUGCAAGCUAUGUGAUUAUUCUGCACGUGAUAAAUCUCGUUUAAAUGUGCACUUAUUUUCUAAGCAUAGGAUGGGUAAAGGAUUUCAAUGCAAGCUGUGUGAUUAUGUCAACUGCAGAAAAGAUCUCCUUGAUAGCCACAUGUUUUAUAUACAUGGUUUAGGGAAGGGAUUCCCAUGCGAGUUUUGUGAUUAUGUUGCUGGUAAGAAACGCUAUCUAACAAAGCACCUGAAAUCCAAACAUGUUCUGGAUUAUGAAAAAUCUAAUAGUACAAGUAG